Molecule: ribosomal RNA, 466 nt
Filed under: uncultured bacterium
Lineage: Bacteria
Description: partial 16S ribosomal RNA
Rfam family: Bacterial small subunit ribosomal RNA
Source: RNAcentral
ACGCACGCUGGCGGCGUGCUUAACACAUGCAAGUCGCACGGAAAGGCUCCAGCUUGCUGGAGUGCUCGAGUGGCGAACGGGUGAGUAACACGUGGGCAAUCUGCCCUGCACUCUGGGAUAAGCCUGGGAAACUGGGUCUAAUACCGGAUAGGACCUUUCUCCUCAUGGGGUUUGGUGGAAAGUUUUUCGGUGCAGGAUGAGCCCGCGGCCUAUCAGCUUGUUGGUGGGGUAAUGGCCUACCAAGGCGACGACGGGUAGCCGGCCCGAGAGGGUGAUCGGCCACAUUGGGACUGAGAUACGGCCCAGACUCCUACGGGAGGCAGCAGUGGGGAAUAUUGCACAAUGGGCGAAAGCCUGAUGCAGCGACGCCGCGUGAGGGAUGACGGCCUUCGGGUUGUAAACCUCUUUCAGUAGGGACGAAGCGCAAGUGACGGUACCUGCAGAAGAAGCACCGGCUAACUACGUG